RNAcentral lists this ribosomal RNA (474 nucleotides) under uncultured bacterium. RNAcentral describes it as "bacterial SSU rRNA". It matches the Rfam family "Bacterial small subunit ribosomal RNA", at positions 29 to 517 of the family's 1533-position model. The record is from RNAcentral.
AUUGAACGCUGGCGGCAUGCCUUACACAUGCAAGUCGAACGGCAGCACGGGCGCUUGCACCUGGUGGCGAGUGGCGAACGGGUGAGUAAUACAUCGGAACGUACCUUAUCGUGGGGGAUAACGCAGCGAAAGCUGUGCUAAUACCGCAUACGCCCUGAGGGGGAAAGCGGGGGAUCGAAAGACCUCGCGCGAUUAGAGCGGCCGAUGCCUGAUUAGCUUGUUGGUGGGGUAAAAGCCCACCAAGGCGACGAUCAGUAGCUGGUCUGAGAGGAUGAUCCGCCACACUGGGACUGAGACACGGCCCAGACUCCUACGGGAGGCAGCAGUGGGGAAUCUUGGACAAUGGGCGCAAGCCUGAUCCAGCCAUGCCGCGUGGAUGAUGAAGGCCUUAGGGUUGUAAAAGUCCUUUCAACGGGGACGAGUAAUGACGGUACCCGUAGAAGAAGCCCCGGCUAAACUUCGUGCCAGCAGCCG